GGGUUAAAUUAAUAAUUUAUGAUGAUAUGAAUAUAACUAAUAAAAAAAUUUUUAAAAUUAAAAAGAAAAAAUGGGGGUUGGAGUAUUUUUAAUAGAAAAAAUUGAAAAUUUUAUAGUUAAUUAUUACUGUAAAGGAAAUUAUAAAUAAAUGAAAUUUAAUUUAUUUAAAAGUAGAUUUAAAUUAUUGUAUCUUGUGUAUCAGAGUUUAUUUAAUAAUAAUAUUUAUUUAAAUAAAUCUCGAAUUUAAAAGAGUUAAUUAAUUAAAAAAUUUAAUGUUGAAUAAUUAUUUUAAAUAAUUAAUUAGAAAUGAAAUGUUAAUCGUUUUUAAAUAUAUCUAGUUUUUUUAGAAAAAAAUUUAAUUUUAAAUUAAAAUAAUUUUAUAAUUAAUUAAUUAAUUGUAAAAAUUUAAAAUUUAAUAUUUUAGGGGAUAAGCUUUAAAUUAAAAUAUUAUAAUUAAUUAAAAAAAAAUUAAAAUUUAUAAAAUUUAUAUUGUUUAAAAAUUUUAGUUUAUUUAUAAAAAAUUUUAAUGAAAAAUAAAAUUUUAAUUAUAUUUAAUUUUUUAUAAAAAAAUAAUUUUUAAUAAAAUUAAAUUAGAUAUAAUGAUAAAAUUAGUAUAAUAUAUUUAUAUAUAUAUAUAUAUAAAUUAAUAAGAAUUAAAUUAAAGGAAUUCAGCAAAAUUAUAUAUUCACUUGUUUAUCAAAAACAUGUCUUUUUGAAAAUAAUUUAAAGUCUAAUCUGCCCACUGAUAAAAUUAUUAAAGGGCUGCAGUAUAUUGACUGUACAAAGGUAGCAUAAUCAUUAGUCUUUUAAUUGGAGACUUGUAUGAAGGAUUUGAUGAAAUAUAAACUGUCUCUAAUUUAUUUUUAAAACUUAAUUUUUUAGUGAAAAAGCUAAAAUAUAUUUAAAAGACGAGAAGACCCUAUAGAGUUUUAUAAUUAAAUUAUUAAUUAAUAAAUAUUAAAUAUAAAAUAAUAAUUAAUUUAAUUAUUAUAUUGGGGUGAUAGGAAAAUUAAAUAAACUUUUUUUAAUAAUUAAACAUUAAUAAGUGAAUAAAUGAUCCAUUAAUAUAAUGAUUAUAAGAAAAAAUUACCUUAGGGAUAACAGCGUAAUAUUUUUUUUUAGUACAAAUAAAAAAAAAAGUUUGCGACCUCGAUGUUGGAUUAAGAUAAAAUUUAAAUGUAGAAGUUUAAAAUUUUGAUCUGUUCGAUCAUUAAAAUCUUACAUGAUCUGAGUUCAAACCGGUGUAAGCCAGGUUGGUUUCUAUCUUUAAAAAAAUAAAAUAUUUUAGUACGAAAGGAUCAAAUAUUUAAAAUAAUUUUAAUUUUAAGAAUAUUAAUAAUUAUAAUUAU
This 1349-nucleotide ribosomal RNA is filed under the name Araschnia levana (map butterfly). Its description in RNAcentral is "16S ribosomal RNA". The record is from RNAcentral. Lineage: Eukaryota; Metazoa; Arthropoda; Insecta; Lepidoptera; Nymphalidae.